Long non-coding RNA from Neogale vison (American mink), 871 nucleotides. RefSeq lists it as uncharacterized. The transcript is spliced from 6 exons. NCBI's taxonomy places the organism in Eukaryota, Metazoa, Chordata, Mammalia, Carnivora, Mustelidae. The record is from RefSeq and is a predicted model, not a curated record.
CAGCACUUAGCCCAGUGUUUAGCACACAGCAAACAUUCGGUAAGGUUUCGUUCUUGCUAAUACUGUUGCCAUUUCCUUCCUUCCAGGCCCUGCUUUGUCCCCUCAUCACACAUGAAGUGAAUGUCAUCUCUGUGAUGGGCAUUGUGGCAGGAUGGGGAAAUGAGGAAGAGAGGCUCCCUUUUCCAGAAAAUUCACUGUCUGUGAGUCAUCUCAUUGGAUGAGAUCAGAUGGGCCAUCGGGUUCUCAGACUGUGCUUCCCAGACCAGCAGCAUUAGCAUCACCUGGGAACUUUUUAGAAAUGAAAAUGCUGGGGCCUCACCCUGGACCUACUCAAAAAGAAACUUCGACGUGGGGACCCACAAUUUGGUUUUGACAAGGAGGUCAUCUCGAAUGUGAGAACCACUGCUGCUGUGCUAAAACUUCACCACUUAGUCAAGCCCUCCCCUGCCAUCUGCUCAGCUCCAAAACUGCUGCAAAGGUUGAGAGGAAUGAACCGCAUCCACGAUAGAAAUUCCAUGCCGUGAAACCCUCUCUCAUCUUUCCAGCUUGUUGAAUGUGGGCUCCAGAGGAUCACACUUUGAGGCUCACCAGGAUAUUCUCAUGAGGUUUUUAGUUUAUCAAGGACUGAAGCUCUUUUAUUAGCAAUUCAGCCCUAUUGGAAGCCUGGAGACGACACAGAGGGAAGAAGGUGCUGGGAAGAUGGGGGCAGAGAUUGGAGCGAUGCAGCUACCAGCCAAGGAACACCAAGAAGCUCGAAGAGAGGUACAGAACAGAUUCUUCCCUGCAGCACUGAGAGGAAACAUGGCCCUGGUGACAUCUUGCUGAUGAAUUUCUUAGCCUCCAGAAUGGAGACAGAAUGGGAGAAGAUAUU